GUGGGACUAUCAUCACCUGGCUACAGAGAGCACCCCCAGUCUGGUAACUACUAAAGUCACUUCCUUUAUGCUCACCCUAUUAACACUUCCUUUAAUGUUCUGUCUAGGGAGACGGCUGUGAGAUCCAGAAAGAGAAGAAGAACACGGCUGUCAUAACCCCUUGAUUACGCUGAGUUGCCGGCUGACCUUCAGCAAUGAAGAUCCUUUAUCUGCUGUUUGCGGUUUUCCUUCUAGUGCUCCAGGGUGCACCAGCAUUCUCCCAGGCUAAUAAUCCCUACCUGCAAUGUAGACUCCGUGGGGGCAAUUGUUACUUUAAGAGAUGUCUCUUCAAUUCUAAAAUCAUUGGCAUGUGUGCUAGACAUCAUUUCUGCUGUCAAAGGCGACUUUUUGACUGAUUGUCUAGGCAGGAUCUCUGGGAAUCUGGGAGACAGCCACUUCCUUCUAAAAUCAUCAGAUCCUGCUUCAAUGGAACACUGAUGUGCUGUUUAUUUGGGCUGUAAAAAAUCUUGUGAGUUGGAGAAAUUCCAGAAGGGAUCCAUUGUAUCACCCAUAUAUGAUUUGUUACUCUCCUUUCAA
Molecule: long non-coding RNA, 576 nt
Organism: Terrapene triunguis (Three-toed box turtle)
Lineage: Eukaryota; Metazoa; Chordata; Testudines; Emydidae
Exons: 4
Source: RefSeq, a predicted model, not a curated record